CCUACGGGAGGCAGCAGUGGGGAAUAUUGCACAAUGGGCGAAAGCCUGAUGCAGCAACGCCGCGUGAGUGAUGAAGGUCUUCGGAUUGUAAAGCUCUGUCUUUUGGGACGAUAAUGACGGUACCAAAGGAGGAAGCCACGGCUAACUACGUGCCAGCAGCCGCGGUAAU
Molecule: ribosomal RNA, 169 nt
Filed under: uncultured Clostridium sp.
Lineage: Bacteria; Bacillati; Bacillota; Clostridia; Eubacteriales; Clostridiaceae
Description: partial 16S ribosomal RNA
Rfam family: Bacterial small subunit ribosomal RNA
Source: RNAcentral